UUGAAACCUAACAUUCAAAACAGAGCGCACAUGAAUGGAGCAAUAUGGGACGCAAGGAGCUUCGAUGGCAUAUUCAAAGCGAUAAUAGAGAUUAAUACACUCAUUCAACAAAUAUCCAGUUAUUUAUGCAUUACGGUAAAAGUAGAAACAUCGAUUCAAUAUUGAGUGAAUAACAACUAUGUUAGAGAUCUUAGCAUGAAGUGAGUAAAUGGGGAAGAAGAAGUACCGACGGAAGGAGAUCUGAAGCUUUCGACCACUUAAACUCCGAUGACUCUUCGAGCAAAAAUCUCUCCAAGUCCCCGGUAAGCUCCGUUCGGUUUCUCUUUUCGCCUUUCUUCGUUUUCCUUCACUGACUUUGGGUGUCUCUCGGCUUUGCAGUGGCUUCAGCUCAGUUUUCUCAAAGUUCUAAUGAUGAACUUUGAGUGAACUUUGGGAGUAUUGAGCUUUGGUGAAUGGGUGUGAGGGAAAUCUCAAAGUCCUCCAAAUUGAUGUGGUCCCUCAAAUGAAAGGAUAAGGUUUUGUCUGUAAUGCAUCUACGGAAUUGAUUCGUUUUGCACCCAAAUCUUCUCAAGUGUUGUUCGACUGUCUUUGGAUUCUGCUAGCGGGUUUUGUAACCUGAAGAAAUGCGCACAGACGACAUCGAAACUAGGUGUCCCUUUGAGGUGGCCUGCAGACUGGUUUUGGCGAGUCGAGACGACAGAAUAUCUCAUGACUCACGUCUCUUUGCAGGAAUGUUCCGCAACAGGUAAUGUCUCGUAUUCAUAGCUAUGUUUCGACCUCACACUACACCUUUCUAGGUUGGCUCCUCUUAAUUUGCCGGUUUUUGUUUCUGUGGAAGCAUUGCGCGGGAUUAUCAUGAUCCUUCUCAUACUGACGCCAUGUUAUUAGCGAGAGAUUCGACUGGCUUGCUACAACAUGGAUCCAUUGGAUUACCAUACGAGGGGUCUUGGUCACAUGUGCAUAAUGGAAAUGUCUCCACCUGAUUGUAGUUUGCUUGUUACUAGUGAACUGUUUUCUCUUAGGAAGAGUGAGUUCCAUGGCGUCCCGAUUCUCAACCUGACCAUGCUUAAUCGGGUAGGUGAGAUUACACGUGCUACUAGACCAAACCUUAGAAAGUGCGUCAUCUCCAAUGAAGAAAUCAAGAUCAACCAUGACACUAACAUUAUGCUGUGCAAUCCAAUUUCCUUCGGAAGAACUCCUUGAUUGAUUCAGAAGCGACUUAUUAAUUGCAACAACACUAGGGACCAUAAAUCAAGGUUCAACAUUACCAGCAAGUCCCUUGGUAGCCUUUGGUUUUAUGUAUCGGGUUGGUUGUGGCUAUUGCAACGCGGCUUGGAUCAAAUGGCUUUACUAUGUAUUUGUUUAUGCUUUUUCACUGCAUCUGUCAUUGGCUUGCUGUUUGUAUAAGUGUGGGGUGCUGUUGUUUUGCAGGUCUCCGUUUUGGAUGAUGUUUACGGAUAACAGACCAUGGCAUGCCGCAGGUCUGAUGUACUUGACCUUGAAUGGCAAUGCAAGUGCAGUUGCCCUUGAGCAUACAUGGAUGAAUUUCCUCUUUGAGAUGCUCCUCAUGGCUUGUGGCUUCGUUCUCAUAACAUGCUUCUGUCACAUUACACGACUUCCAUAGGAUGCAGAAUGUUUGUAUUGAUCUUCUACUGUUGCUCACAUGUUAUUCAUAUGGUUGGCCACAUGUUUUUCAUAUUGUUGCUCACAUGUUGUUCAUAUUAUGUUCAGUAUGAGUGUAGGCAAAUGGUCAUUGCGUAUGUCUGUAAGGUUUUGAACUGGUUUUGGACAGGUUAAGUCAUCUUAUACAGGUGGAUCCACAACUUAACGGGAAUGGACCGGACACGGAAGAUCAACAAUUAGAUGCCUCUUAUUCAGAACUUAAUCUUUCUUGACUCAAGUGAUGUAACAUGGACAAUUGAGGCUUAGGUCUUUUUUUUUAGGAAAUGGUCAAUAACUGGUUUGUUGGAAUUUGGCCAACCUUUGUAGAGGAUUUGUCAAUUCCUUAUGAUUUUGUAAUGAUGAUUUUGUAAUUCCUUAUGAUUUUUUUUUAGGAAAAGUGAAUUGUAAUUGUAUGAUUUUUAAAGGUGCAUGAAACAGUUUUUGUGAAGUGAAAUGUAGACAGAAAAUGGUUAUGGAAUUCAGGAUUGUUUCAGAUUA
This is an RNA transcript of Lathyrus oleraceus (garden pea), 2160 nucleotides long. RefSeq lists it as uncharacterized. The record is from RefSeq and is a predicted model, not a curated record. NCBI's taxonomy places the organism in Eukaryota, Viridiplantae, Streptophyta, Magnoliopsida, Fabales, Fabaceae. The transcript has 6 exons.